AUUGAACGCUGGCGGCAUGCCUUACACAUGCAAGUCGAACGGCAGCGCGGGCUUCGACCUGGCGACGAGUGGCGGACGGGUGAGUAAUGCAUCGGAACGUGCCCAGGAGUGGGGGAUAACGUAGCGAAAGUUACGCUAAUACCGCAUACGUACUGAGGUAGAAAGCGGGGGAUCGAAAGACCUCGCGCUCAUGGAGCGGCCGAUGUCGGAUUAGCUAGUUGGUGAGGUAAAAGCUCACCAAGGCGACGAUCCGUAGCUGGUCUGAGAGGACGACCAGCCACACUGGGACUGAGACACGGCCCAGACUCCUACGGGAGGCAGCAGUGGGGAAUUUUGGACAAUGGGGGAAACCCUGAUCCAGCAAUGCCGCGUGUGGGAUGAAGGCCCUCGGGUUGUAAACCACUUUUGGCAGGAAAGAAAUCGCCUGUGCUAAUACCAGGGGCGGAUGACGGUACCUGCAGAAUAAGCACCGGCUAACUACGUGCCAGCAGCCGCGGUAAUACGUAGGGUGCGAGCGUUAAUCGGAAUUACUGGGCGUAAAGCGUGCGCAGGCGGUUUUGUAAGUCAGAUGUGAAAUCCCCGGGCUUAACCUGGGAACUGCAUUUGAGACUGCAAGACUAGAGUGCGUCAGAGGGAGGUGGAAUUCCGCGUGUAGCAGUGAAAUGCGUAGAGAUGCGGAAGAACACCCAUGGCGAAGGCAGCCUCC
This 706-nucleotide ribosomal RNA is filed under the name uncultured bacterium. RNAcentral's name for it is "bacterial SSU rRNA". It matches the Rfam family "Bacterial small subunit ribosomal RNA", at positions 28 to 729 of the family's 1533-position model. The record is from RNAcentral.